This 788-nucleotide ribosomal RNA is filed under the name uncultured archaeon. RNAcentral's name for it is "bacterial SSU rRNA". It matches the Rfam family "Archaeal small subunit ribosomal RNA", at positions 572 to 1360 of the family's 1478-position model. The record is from RNAcentral.
UUGCAGAGAAUACUAUGCGGCUAGAGGCCGGGAGAGGUUAGGGGUAUUCUCAGGGUACCGGUGAAAUGGUAUAAUCCUGGGAGGACCACCAGUAGCGAAGGCGCCUAACUGGAACGGGCCUGACGAUGAGGGACGAAAGCUAGGGGAGCGAACGGGAUUAGAUACCCCGGUAGUCCUAGCCGUAAACGAUGCAGACUGAGUGUUGCCAUACCUUCAUGGUGUGGCAGUGCUGAAGGGAAACCGUUAAGUCUGCCGCCUGGGGAGUACGGUCGCAAGGCUGAAACUUAAAGGAAUUGGCGGGGGAGCACCACAAGGGGUGGAUGCUGCGGUUUAAUUGGAUAAAACGCCGGGCAACUCACCAGGGGCGACGGCAGUAUGAAAGCCAGGCUGAAGGUCUUGCUGGACAAGCCGAGAGGUAGUGCAUGGCCGUCGUCAGCUCGUACUGUGAAGCGUACGGUUAAGUCCGUUAACGAGCGAGACCCGUACCCUUAUUUGCCAACCUCGAGGAGACUUGGGGAGCACUAUAGGGGGACCGCCUCUGAUGAAGAGGAGGAAGGUACGGGCGACGGUAGGUCAGUAUGCUCCGAAUCUCCUGGGCUACACGCGGCAUACAAUGACGUGGACAACGGGUUGCGACACCGUAAGGUGAAGCCAAUCUCUUAAACCACGCCUUAGUUCGGAUCGAGGGUUGCAACUCACCCUCGUGAAGCUGAAAUCCCUAGUAAGCGCUAGUAACCAUCUAGCGCUGAAUAUGUCCCUGCUCCUUGCACACACCGCCCGUCACGUCA